ACGGAAGGCGGCAGUGGGGAAUAUUGCACAAUGGGCGAAAGCCUGAUGCAGCGACGCCGCGUGAGUGAUGAAGUAUUUCGGUAUGUAAAGCUCUAUCAGCAGGGAAGAUAAUGACGGUACCUGACUAAGAAGCACCGGCUAAAUACGUGCCAGCAGCCGCGGUAAUACGAAUGGUGCAAGCGUUAUCCGGAUUUACUGGGUGUAAAGGGAGCGCAGGCGGUACGGCAAGUCUGAUGUGAAAGCCCGGGGCUCACCCCCGGUACUGCAUUGGAAACUGUCGAACUAGAGUGUCGGAGGGGUAAGUGGAAUUCCUAGUGUAGCGGUGAAAUGCGUAGAUAUUAGGAGGAGCACCAGUGGCGAAGGCGGCUUACUGGACGAUAACUGACGCUGAGGCUCGAAAGCGUGGGGAGCAAACAGGAUUAGAUACCCUGGUA
RNAcentral lists this ribosomal RNA (434 nucleotides) under uncultured Roseburia sp. RNAcentral describes it as "bacterial SSU rRNA". It matches the Rfam family "Bacterial small subunit ribosomal RNA", at positions 341 to 792 of the family's 1533-position model. Lineage: Bacteria; Bacillati; Bacillota; Clostridia; Lachnospirales; Lachnospiraceae. The record is from RNAcentral.